RNAcentral lists this signal recognition particle RNA (265 nucleotides) under Peribacillus deserti. Its description in RNAcentral is "signal recognition particle sRNA large type". It matches the Rfam family "Bacterial large signal recognition particle RNA". From Rfam's summary of the family: The signal recognition particle (SRP) is a universally conserved ribonucleoprotein involved in the co-translational targeting of proteins to membranes. Archaeal SRP consists of a 7S RNA and homologues of the eukaryotic SRP19 and SRP54 proteins. In most bacteria, the SRP consists of a 4.5S RNA and the Ffh protein (a homologue of the eukaryotic SRP54 protein). Lineage: Bacteria; Bacillati; Bacillota; Bacilli; Caryophanales; Bacillaceae. The record is from RNAcentral.
CCGUGCUAGGCGGGGAGGUAGCGGUGCCCUGUACUCGCAAUCCGCUCCAGCGAGGCUGAAUUCCUUUUCACGGUUAAUAUAUUGCAGGGUCUGCCUUAAGUAAGUGGUGUUGACGUUUGGGUCCUGCGCAAUGAGAAUCCAUGAACCAUGUCAGGUCCGGAAGGAAGCAGCAUUAAGUGGAACCUCUCAUGUGCCGCAGGAUCGCCUGGACUGAGCUAACUGCUUGAGUAACGCUUGUGAUUGUUAAUCAACAAAAGGUGCACGG